GGCUGCAGGACAAUUAAAUACAGGACGUAGGACGGAAUAGCGACCAGGUUAUUGGCGACCAUAAAAGCGAACCUGAGGAGAGCUUUCAAGAAGGUGUAGCCCACCCGCUGGGCCUGUUCUAAGGUCACAGCCAUCCUCUUCACAGCGGGACCGUCCUCCGGAGAGGCGGCGGAGCGGCGGCGGAAGCGGCGGCGGGGCUGGGGGAGUUGGGCCCGGCGGCGGCGGCAGUCCCGGGCGGCGGCUGGCGGCGGCUCAUGGACCCUGAGGCGGCUGGCCCGGCCGAGGAACACCGCUCGCCCUACGGCUCCCUCAGCGCCGCCGCCUCCUCCUCCCCCUGCUGCUGCUGCUGCUCCGUGCCCGCCGCGAGCAGCGCGAGGCGCCGGGGCUGCAUGCCGGCUGCUGGGGCCGCGCUCCCCGCCCCCGCCGCUGCGUGUCCGCCGUGACCGCCCCGCCGCUGCUCGAGAGCGGGGCUGGCGCUGCGGGAGCGCCGCCCCCCGGCCCCGCGCACAGACACACACACAGACACACACACA
Molecule: long non-coding RNA, 533 nt
Filed under: Gallus gallus (chicken)
Lineage: Eukaryota; Metazoa; Chordata; Aves; Galliformes; Phasianidae
Source: RNAcentral